Molecule: ribosomal RNA, 429 nt
Filed under: Chloroflexota bacterium
Lineage: Bacteria; Bacillati; Chloroflexota
Description: Chloroflexi bacterium partial 16S ribosomal RNA
Rfam family: Bacterial small subunit ribosomal RNA
Source: RNAcentral
GGGGGAAUAUUGCACAAUGGGCGCAAGCCUGAUGCAGCCAUGCCGCGUGUAUGAAGAAGGCCUUCGGGUUGUAAAGUACUUUCAGUCGGGAGGAAGGUGGUAAGGUCAAUAACCUUAUCAAUUGACGUUACCGACAGAAGAAGCACCGGCUAACUCCGUGCAAGCAGCCGCGGUAAUACGGAGGGUGCAAGCGUUAAUCGGAAUUACUGGGCGUAAAGCGCACGCAGGCGGUUGAUUGAGUCAGAUGUGAAAUCCCCGGGCUUAACCCGGGAAUUGCAUCUGAUACUGGUCAGCUAGAGUCGUGUAGAGGGGGGUAGAAUUCCAUGUGUAGCGGUGAAAUGCGUAGAGAUGUGGAGGAAUACCGGUGGCGAAGGCGGCCCCCUGGACAAAGACUGACGCUCAGGUGCGAAAGCGUGGGGAGCAAACAGG